CAUCAUCUCCAGCUUGUCGGCAUUUAAACGAGACGCGUGGCAUCUGCUGCUAUCGCCAGCCACGCUUGUUAGCUGCUCCAUGUUCACAGUCGGUCAUUAAGACUGUGACAUCGGGAAUGCAUGUUCAUUGAAACACUGAAGGCAGCGCUGCUACUGUGCAUUAUCUCCAUCAUUAUCUUUUGAAACUUUGCAUGGGGGGCCAUUUUUGGACAUUUUGAUCGUAUCCAUUAUAUGUCAUGAUACACCGACAACAUUAACAUC
Hyla sarda is the source of this 261-nucleotide long non-coding RNA. RefSeq lists it as uncharacterized. The record is from RefSeq and is a predicted model, not a curated record. Lineage: Eukaryota; Metazoa; Chordata; Amphibia; Anura; Hylidae. The transcript has 3 exons.